CCCAAGCUCAGUUGGUUAGAGCGGUCGGCUCAUAACCGAUUGGUCGCAGGUUCGAGUCCUGUAGGGCCCA
This 70-nucleotide transfer RNA is filed under the name Paenibacillus sp. FSL R7-0333. Its description in RNAcentral is "tRNA-Met". It matches the Rfam family "tRNA". Rfam says of the family: Transfer RNA (tRNA) molecules are approximately 80 nucleotides in length. Their secondary structure includes four short double-helical elements and three loops (D, anti-codon, and T loops). Lineage: Bacteria; Bacillati; Bacillota; Bacilli; Caryophanales; Paenibacillaceae. The record is from RNAcentral.